This is a long non-coding RNA of Canis lupus familiaris (dog), 1512 nucleotides long. RefSeq lists it as uncharacterized. NCBI's taxonomy places the organism in Eukaryota, Metazoa, Chordata, Mammalia, Carnivora, Canidae. The transcript is spliced from 3 exons. The record is from RefSeq and is a predicted model, not a curated record.
UUGGCUGUGCUACUGUUUGCCUUUACACUUUCUUGACUUCAUUAUGUAAUCUUGCCGAAUCUCCACGCUCUGUGCAUGCUGUUUAGACCUCACGUCUGUCUUUUACUUACCCUUGAAUAGUUUUGUUUUGAAACUCCUGGUCCAUCCAUAUUUACCUCAUUCCUUUGUUUCCUACUAUCUGUCUGCUGCCUGGAAUGUUCAGGGACAUUGUCCAGAAAUGUGUACCAGUCUGCUUUAUUACAUAUCUUACCUAACAGGACAUUCCAUUAGAAUUUUUUUUCCUACUUUGGCCCUGCCAUUUUUGGUUGCAUGAGGUAAUGCCCCUUCUCCCCAAGUCACUUCUGGUUAUGGGCAUCAUAUGGACAAAAGACAAUUGCCAGGAUAAAUUUAUCUCUUUUGAUUUCCCUUUGAGCAAGUAGAGGAAGGCAAAGGAUGCAUAGAUUCUGCUGCUGAUUGGCUCUGUGACAUCAGGCAAGUCACUUAACUACUCUGCCCUCUUUCAUGGUCAGUUUAUAAUAAGUGGGGGUGAAUAUAAAUGAAUCAACUUUGUAAUUGAUAAUGCACUUUAAAAUGAUUGGUUUGGCCAAUCCUUCCAUGGGUUUGUAUCAAUCCUACUAGUGAUGAACAGGAUUGCUUCUCUUCCAUGGCCCAUCCUUUCCAACACUCCAUUCUAGCUUGUCUGUCUUCAUAGUAAACAUUUCUACUGGUUUUCAUGUCAGAGUACUAUCUUUUUGAAGUCUAGAUUCAGAAGGGACAACUUUGCUCAGGCCUCUUCUCCAUUCUGGUGUUAUGAAAAGUUAUAGGCAUCCUCCUGAAUCCCCUCUGUCUCUCAGUGUUCUCUGCAAAGGAUGGAAGUAGCCAUUCCAGAAAUACCCGAUCACCACGGCUGCCCUUUGGUUAUCCUCUUACUAUUAACUUUUUUUUUCCUGCUCUCAAUCACUCACUUCCUUUCUUUCUCUCUGUCCUUAGAUAAAAUAUCUUUACUGAAGAAGUUACUGCAGAAAAGAAGACAACUCAUCUAAUGAUUCUUGGAGUCUCAUCCCCUUGGGAGUAUCCUCUCAAUCUGUCUGAGAACAGAAUAUGUCAUAGAAUGUCCAUUUUAAGUUCAGUGAAGUGGGGAUGGCGUGGGUUAAUGAAAAUCUUCAGAUAAGAGGAGCAGGAACCAGAAAUAUGUACCCAUAGAGGAAAGACCAUGUAAGGACACAGCAAGAAGGUGGCCAUCUGCAAGACAAGGAGAAAGGCUUUGAAGAAACCAAACAUGCUGACCCCUGGAUCUUGGACUCCAGCCUCCAGAACUGGUCUGCCACUGCCCACAUAGACUGCUAGCCCCCAGCGCACAGCCUAAGAGAAAGGAGCUGUCCGUUCAGUACCAGGACCACGUGCAACCUGCCCGCCAAAACACAAAGAACUGAAAUAUUAAUUAAAAAAAGCCAAUCUGCUCAAUCCUCCGCCCGCAGGCAGGCUCUAACGGAAAACCGCAUAUGCUUUCCCUUUCUCCUCAAUAAAUCUUCA